Molecule: long non-coding RNA, 373 nt
Filed under: Capra hircus (goat)
Lineage: Eukaryota; Metazoa; Chordata; Mammalia; Artiodactyla; Bovidae
Description: lncRNA (ENSCHIG00000007427.1)
Source: RNAcentral
UAUUAAUAUUUUUAUUUUAUAGAUAGAGCCCUGAGGCACAGAGAGAUCACUCAGCUAUUAAGUGGUACUAUCAGGAUUCAAUUCAGAGCAGCCAGCUCCAGAGCCCACACUGUUAAAAACGAGGAUCCUGGAGUCAACAGCCUGGCUUCACAUUCUGGCUUCAUCUACAACACUGCGGUUAGUUCCUGGCCCCCCUGGAAAGAGCAGCAAUAUGUUCCCUGUAUUAUUUUCUGACCAUCACAGCUGAGGCAGAAGUGGCUGUAAAUGACACAUCUCCCUAGUCAAGAGUUGCAUGGACUUUCAACAUUUAAGGUGUCUCUGCUGACACCAUUUGUUGUUGUUGUUCUAGAAAAGGAAUAAAAUUGAAUUCAGU